AUACGUAGGUGGCAAGCGUUGUCCGGAAUUAUUGGGCGUAAAGCGAGCGCAGGCGGGCCUUUAAGUCUGAUGUGAAAGCCCACGGCUCAACAGUGGAGGGUCAUUGGAAACUGGGUGACUUGAGUGCAGAAGAGGAAAGAGGAAUGCCAAGUGUAGCGGUGAAAUGCGUAGAGAUUUGGAGGAACACCCGUGGCGAAGGCGACUUUCUGGUCUGUAACUGACGCUGAGGCGCGAAAGCGUGGGGAGCAAACAGGAUUAGAUACCCUGGUAGUCCACGCCGUAAACGAUGAGUGCUAAGUGUUAGGGGGUUUCCGCCCCUUAGUGCUGCAGCUAACGCAUUAAGCACUCCGCCUGGGGAGUACGGUCGCAAGACUGAAACUCAAAUGAAUUGACGGGG
Molecule: ribosomal RNA, 397 nt
Filed under: uncultured bacterium
Lineage: Bacteria
Description: partial 16S ribosomal RNA
Rfam family: Bacterial small subunit ribosomal RNA
Source: RNAcentral